Molecule: ribosomal RNA, 513 nt
Filed under: uncultured bacterium
Lineage: Bacteria
Description: bacterial SSU rRNA
Rfam family: Bacterial small subunit ribosomal RNA
Source: RNAcentral
CGCUGGCGGCGUGCCUAAUACAUGCAAGUCGAACGGUCUUUCUAUGGAAGCUUGCUUCCACUGAGAAGAUAGUGGCGAACGGGUGAGUAACACGUGGGUAACCUGCCCAUAAGAGGGGGAUAACAUCCGGAAACGGGUGCUAAUACCGCAUAGUUUUCUUGAUCGCAUGAUUGAGAAAGGAAAGACGGCCUUUGUGCUGUCGCUUAUGGAUGGACCCGCGGCGUAUUAGUUAGUUGGUGAGGUAACGGCUCACCAAGACGAUGAUACGUAGCCGACCUGAGAGGGUGAUCGGCCACAUUGGGACUGAGACACGGCCCAAACUCCUACGGGAGGCAGCAGUAGGGAAUCUUCCGCAAUGGACGAAAGUCUGACGGAGCAACGCCGCGUGAGUGAAGAAAAGGGUUUUCGGAUCGUAAAACUCUGUUGUCAGAGAAGAACAAGUUGGAGAGUAACUGCUCCAGCCUUGACGGUAUCUGACCAGAAAGCCACGGCUAACUACGUGCCAGCCGCCGC